Molecule: ribosomal RNA, 447 nt
Filed under: uncultured Glomus
Lineage: Eukaryota; Fungi; Glomeromycota; Glomeromycetes; Glomerales; Glomeraceae
Description: SSU rRNA
Rfam family: Eukaryotic small subunit ribosomal RNA
Source: RNAcentral
AGCAGCCGCGGUAAUUCCAGCUCCAAUAGCGUAUAUUAAAGUUGUUGCAGUUAAAAAGCUACGUAGUUGAAUUUCGGGAUCGAAUAUAUUUGGUCGUGCCUCGGUACGUACUAGCAUAUUGGUUUCUCCUUUCUGAAGAACCAUGAUGUCAUUUAUUUGGUGUCGUGGGGAAUCAGGACUGUUACUUUGAAAAAAUUAGAGUGUUUAAAAGCAGGCUCACGCUUGAAUACAUUAGCAUGGAGUAAUGAAAUAGGACGUUUGAUUCUAUUUUGUUGGUUUCUAGGAUUCGACGUAAUGAUUAAUAGGGAUAGUUGGGGGCAUUAGGUAUUCAAUUGUCAGAGGUGAAAUUCUUGGAUUUAUUGAAGACUAACUACUGCGAAAGCAUUUGCCAAGGAUGUUUUCAUUAAUCAAGAACGAAAGUUAGGGGAUCGAAGACGAUCAGAUACC